CGAGAGGACCGGAGUGGACGCACCUCUGGUGUUCCGGUUGUCACGCCAGUGGCAUUGCCGGGUAGCUAUGUGCGGACGGGAUAACCGCUGAAGGCAUCUAAGCGGGAAGCCCCCUUCAAGAUGAGAUCUCCCCGAGGCCUCGAGCCUCCUGAAGGGCCCAGCGAGACCAGCUGGUUGAUAGGCACGGUGUGGAAGCGCUGCAAGGCGUUGAGCUAACGUGUACUAAUGGCCCGUGAGGCUUGACCAUAUAACACCCAAAGGGUUUUGUA
Molecule: ribosomal RNA, 269 nt
Filed under: Chromohalobacter sp.
Lineage: Bacteria; Pseudomonadati; Pseudomonadota; Gammaproteobacteria; Oceanospirillales; Halomonadaceae
Description: partial 23S ribosomal RNA
Rfam family: Bacterial large subunit ribosomal RNA
Source: RNAcentral